AGUGAACGCUGGCGGUAGGCCUAACACAUGCAAGUCGAACGGCAGCACAGUAAGAGCUUGCUCUUACGGGUGGCGAGUGGCGGACGGGUGAGGAAUACAUCGGAAUCUACUUUUUCGUGGGGGAUAACGUAGGGAAACUUACGCUAAUACCGCAUACGACCUACGGGUGAAAGCAGGGGAUCUUCGGACCUUGCGCGAUUGAAGGAGCCGAUGUCGGAUUAGCUAGUUGGCGGGGUAAAGGCCCACCAAGGCGACGAUCCGUAGCUGGUCUGAGAGGAUGAUCAGCCACACUGGAACUGGGACACGGUCCAGACUCCUACGGGAGGCAGCAGUGGGGAAUAUUGGACAAUGGGCGCAAGCCUGAUCCAGCCAUACCGCGUGGGUGAAGAAGGCCUUCGGGUUGUAAAGCCCUUUUGUUGGGAAAGAAAAGCAGCAGGUUAAUACCCCGCUGUUCUGACGGUACCCAAAGAAUAAGCACCGGCUAACUUCG
Molecule: ribosomal RNA, 490 nt
Filed under: uncultured bacterium
Lineage: Bacteria
Description: partial 16S ribosomal RNA
Rfam family: Bacterial small subunit ribosomal RNA
Source: RNAcentral